RNAcentral lists this long non-coding RNA (1640 nucleotides) under Macaca fascicularis (crab-eating macaque). RNAcentral's name for it is "lncRNA (ENSMFAG00000056840.1)". The record is from RNAcentral. Lineage: Eukaryota; Metazoa; Chordata; Mammalia; Primates; Cercopithecidae.
GGAAGACUUGCACAGGAAUGUUGACAGCAAUUUUAUUCAAAUAGCCAAACACUGGAAAUGACCCAAAUUGUUCAUCCACAGUAAAAAAAAGCAAAUAAAUGAUAGUAUAGUCAUAUAAUGAAAUACUGUAGAGCAACAAAAAAGAACAAGUUACUGAUUAUAUAACUAUAUAAAUGAAUCUCACAGAUAAAAUGUUAAAUGAAAGAAGUCAGACUUUACUUAAAGAGUAUAUAUUUACAUAUGAUAUAUGUUCAUAGAACAGGAUUUCAUUUCCAUGUAUUUGAUGUUUAAAAACAAAAACUUGUCUGCAGCCACAGAAGUCAGAACAGUGGUUAGCUUUGGUGGGAGAAAACCUACCCAGGCGAAGGCACAAUGAAUCAUUCUGGGCCCCUACGCAUGUUCUGUAUCUUGAUCUAAGUGGUAGUUGCAUAGGUUUACACACAUGCAAAAACGUAUUGGGCUGUACACUUAAUAUUUAUAACUUACUUUAGUUAUACCUCAAGAAAAAUAAAUUUAAAGACUGUAGCAACCAAAACAAAAAAUAUCAAGAGAAGUGAAUGAAAGAGCACAGGUCUGGCAAAAGAGGGUAAAUGAAUUAUUUAUUUUCCCAUAAAGCAUUAAUGCCCCCCUUUACAUUUUUAUGCUGGCCAUGUAAUUAUUAAAAUUUUAUAAAAUAAGAUUUUUAAUCACAUAUAUCCCCACUUAUAACUCAACCCUAAAAUGUGAACUGUUUUUAUUUAUUCAUAUUCCCUUGCGUAUCCUUUUCCAUUGAUCUGUAUACAACAUUAUAUAAGAAGUCAUCCUGGACACAAAUUCUAUAUAGAAGAAAUCAGGAUUUGCAAUCGGAGAAUCUAAUUUGAAUCCUUGCUGGGCUAUUUAUUAGUUGUGUGAUCUCAGCCAAAUUACCUAAUCUCUCUAAAUCACAGUUUGCUCACUUAUAAAAGGGAAGAAAAAUGUUCUCUACCUCACAGAAUUGUUGUGAGAAUUAAAUUAGAUAAUGUGUAUUUAUAAACACUGCUCAAAUUAUUGGUAAUUUACAUUAAUUUUGGUGAUCGCAGUGUGGAUACAAUUCUUCAUUCUGCUCUUCUCAUUUCCUCUAUAAUUAGCAUUUCCACAAUAGUACAUAAUCUACAUAGUGGCCUACCUAAUUUCCAUUCCCUCCUCAUUUUACCAACAGGAACUCAGUUUUAUUUGAGAUUGGCACUUUGCCCAGCCUAGUGAUAAAUCAUGAUUGAUCUACACCAAUGAUGGCAAAUCUGUUUCCUACUUUCCCAGCCUUCCUUGCAGCAGGGCGUGGGGUCAUGUGACUAAAUUCUGGCACUGAAACCUAAGGGGAAAUGCACUGGGGGAGAAAGAGGUGCUUCUGAUAAAGGCAUUCCUUUUACUGGCAAAAGGAACAAACCAUGCUGUCCCUCCCUUUCUCCCACUUCUUUCUGUCUUAAACCCAGAUGCACCAUUUAGAACUGUGGAAGCCAUCUUGUGUAUGCAAGAGAAAUGCUUAAGAAUUUCAGAGACAUCAGCCCUUGAUGCACCUGUGGCCACCUACCUCUGGACUUGUUAUGUCAGAAAAAUAAAUUCAAGUUUCUAGAAGCCAUUGUUAAGGUUUCUGUUACUGCAGUUGAAAACAUUCUAAACUAAUA